GAUGAACGCUAGCUACAGGCUUAACACAUGCAAGUCGCGGGGCAGCACUGUGGUUGCUUGCAACCACUGGUGGCGACCGGCGCACGGGUGAGUAACGCGUAUCCAACCUGCCCUGCAGUGGGGAACAGCCCGGCGAAAGUCGGAUUAAUGCCCCAUAGCGUCCUCGGCGGGCAUCUAAUGAGGACUAAAGGCUUCGGCCGCUGCGGGAUGGGGAUGCGUAGGAUUAGGCAGGCGGCGGGGCGACGGCCCACCGCGCCGACGAUCCUUAGGGGUUCUGAGAGGAAGGUCCCCCACACUGGUACUGAGACACGGACCAGACUCCUACGGGAGGCAGCAGUGAGGAAUAUUGGUCAAUGGGCGCGAGCCUGAACCAGCCAAGUAGCGUGCAGGAAGACGGCCCUACGGGUUGUAAACUGCUUUUAUGCGGGGAUAAAGUGGGCUACGCGUAGCCCUUUGCAGGUACCGCAUGAAUAAGGACCGGCUAAUUCCGUGCCAGCAGCCGCGGUAAUACGGAAGGUCCGGGCGUUAUCCGGAUUUAUUGGGUUUAAAGGGAGCGCAGGCUGAUUGUUAAGCGUGACGUGAAAUGUAGCCGCUCAACGGCUGAACUGCGUCGCGAACUGGCAGUCUUGAGUGAGUACGACGUCAGCGGAAUUCGUGGUGUAGCGGUGAAAUGCUUAGAUAUCACGAAGAACCCCGAUUGCGAAGGCAGCUGACGAGUCCUUUACUGACGCUAAAGCGCGAAGGUGCGGGUAUCAAACA
RNAcentral lists this ribosomal RNA (759 nucleotides) under uncultured bacterium. RNAcentral describes it as "bacterial SSU rRNA". It matches the Rfam family "Bacterial small subunit ribosomal RNA", at positions 28 to 774 of the family's 1533-position model. The record is from RNAcentral.